AUUGAACGCUGGCGGCAGGCUUAGCACAUGCAAGUCGAGCGGGGUGAUGGUGCUUGCACUAUCACUUAGCGGCGGACGGGUGAGUAAUGCUUAGGAAUCUGCCUAUUAGUGGGGGACAACAUCUCGAAAGGGAUGCUAAUACCGCAUACGUCCUACGGGAGAAAGCAGGGGAUCACUUGUGACCUUGCGCUAAUAGAUGAGCCUAAGUCGGAUUAGCUAGUUGGUGGGGUAAAGGCCUACCAAGGCGACGAUCUGUAGCGGGUCUGAGAGGAUGAUCCGCCACACUGGGACUGAGACACGGCCCAGACUCCUACGGGAGGCAGCAGUGGGGAAUAUUUGACAAUGGGGGGAACCCUGAUCCAGCCAUGCCGCGUGUGUGAAGAAGGCCUUAUGGUUGUAAAGCACUUUAAGCGAGGAGGAGGCUCUUUUGGUUAAUACCCAAGAUGAGUGGACGUUACUCGCAGAAUAAGCACCGGCUAACUCUGUGCCAGCCGCCGCGGUAA
This 503-nucleotide ribosomal RNA is filed under the name uncultured bacterium. Its description in RNAcentral is "partial 16S ribosomal RNA". It matches the Rfam family "Bacterial small subunit ribosomal RNA", at positions 30 to 523 of the family's 1533-position model. The record is from RNAcentral.